AAUGGGCGAAAGCCUGACGCAGCCAUGCCGCGUGGAUGAUGAAGGCCUUCGGGUCGUAAAGUCCUUUUCUGAGGGAAGAAAAGCGAGGUAGGAAAUGACCUCGCCCUGACGGUACCUCAGGAAUAAGCAACGGCAAACUCCGUGCCAGCAGCCGCGGUAAUACGGAGGUUGCAAGCGUUGUUCGGAUUUACUGGGCGUAAAGGGAGCGCAGGCGGCUAGGCCAGUCUGAAGUGGAAGCCCGGGGCUCAACCCCGGAAGGCUUUGGAUACUACCUAGCUUGAGUUCGUGAGAGGAGAGUGGAAUUCCAGGUGUAGCGGUGAAAUGCGUAGAUAUCUGGAGGAACAUCGAUGGCGAAAGCAACUCUCUGGCACGAUACUGACGCUGAGGCUCGAAAGCGUGGGGAGCGAACAGGAUU
This 415-nucleotide ribosomal RNA is filed under the name uncultured Candidatus Sumerlaeota bacterium. Its description in RNAcentral is "bacterial SSU rRNA". It matches the Rfam family "Bacterial small subunit ribosomal RNA", at positions 370 to 779 of the family's 1533-position model. Lineage: Bacteria; Candidatus Sumerlaeota. The record is from RNAcentral.